This 459-nucleotide ribosomal RNA is filed under the name uncultured bacterium. Its description in RNAcentral is "partial 16S ribosomal RNA". It matches the Rfam family "Bacterial small subunit ribosomal RNA", at positions 338 to 795 of the family's 1533-position model. The record is from RNAcentral.
CCUACGGGCGGCAGCAGUGAGGAAUAUUGGUCAAUGGUCGGGAGACUGAACCAGCCAAGCCGCGUGAGGGAUGAAGGUACAGAGUAUCGUAAACCUCUUUUGUCAGGGAACAAAGGCGGGGACGUGUCCCCGGCUGAGUGUACCUGACGAAAAAGCAUCGGCUAACUCCGUGCCAGCAGCCGCGGUAAUACGGAGGAUGCGAGCGUUAUCCGGAUUUAUUGGGUUUAAGGGGUGCGCAGGCGGUCUGUUAAGUCAGCGGUCAAAGCCCGGGGCUCAACCCCGGUCCGCCGUUGAAACUGGCAGUCUCGAGUUGGAGAGAAGUAGGCGGAAUGCGCGGUGUAGCGGUGAAAUGCAUAGAUAUCGCGCAGAACUCCGAUUGCGAAGGCAGCAUGCCGGCUCCACACUGACGCUGAGGCACGAAAGCGUGGGUAUCGAACAGGAUUAGAUACCCGAGUAGUC